GUUGCCAGCAUUUAAGUGGGGACUCAGAUGAGACUGCCGGUGGACAAACCGGAGGAAGGUGGGGACGACGUUAAGUCAUCAUGGCCCUUAUGUCCUGGGCUACACACGUGCUACAAUGGCCGGUACAGAGUGAAGCGAAACCGCGAGGUGAAGCAAAACGCAGAAAGCCGGCUCAGUACGGAUUGGAGUCUGAAACUCGACUUCAUGAAGUUGGAAUCGCUAGUAAUCGCGCAUCAGCAUGGCGCGGUGAAUACGUUCCCGGGCCUU
RNAcentral lists this ribosomal RNA (267 nucleotides) under uncultured Spirochaeta sp. Its description in RNAcentral is "partial 16S ribosomal RNA". It matches the Rfam family "Bacterial small subunit ribosomal RNA", at positions 1114 to 1382 of the family's 1533-position model. Lineage: Bacteria; Pseudomonadati; Spirochaetota; Spirochaetia; Spirochaetales; Spirochaetaceae. The record is from RNAcentral.